RNAcentral lists this ribosomal RNA (510 nucleotides) under Coniochaeta sp. 169 OA-2013. RNAcentral describes it as "eukaryotic LSU rRNA". The stretch from base 152 to 305 matches the Rfam family "5.8S ribosomal RNA". Lineage: Eukaryota; Fungi; Ascomycota; Sordariomycetes; Coniochaetales; Coniochaetaceae. The record is from RNAcentral.
ACCAUCGCGAACUCGUCCAAGUUGCUUCGGCGGCGCGGCACCCCUUAACGGGGGCGCCGCAGCCCUGCCUCUCCGGAGGUUCGGGGCGCCCGCCGGAGGUACGAAACUCUGUAUUAUAGUGGCAUCUCUGAGUAUAAAACAAAUAAGUUAAAACUUUCAACAACGGAUCUCUUGGUUCUGGCAUCGAUGAAGAACGCAGCGAAAUGCGAUAAGUAAUGUGAAUUGCAGAAUUCAGUGAAUCAUCGAAUCUUUGAACGCACAUUGCGCCCGGUAGUACUCUACCGGGCAUGCCUGUUCGAGCGUCAUUUCAACCCUCAAGCCCUGCUUGGUGUUGGGGCCCUACGGCUGCCGUAGGCCCUGAAAGGAAGUGGCGGGCUCGCUACAACUCCGAGCGUAGUAAUUCAUUAUCUCGCUAGGGAGGUUGCGGCGUGCUCCUGCCGUUAAAGACCCAUCUUUAACCAAGGUUGACCUCGGAUCAGGUAGGAAUACCCGCUGAACUUAAGCAUAUCA